UAAGUUAUACUGUGAAAGGCUAUAUAUCUGAGAACGCAACAUCUUACUUGUAACUUAUAUUGUAAAUAAAUUAUUUUUCUAAACAAAUGAUAUCUUACCGGUAAGUUAUAGUGUAAAAGGCAUAUAUAUCUGAGAACGCAACAUCUUAAUCGUAACUUAUACAGUAAAUAACUUAUUUUUUUCAAAACACCACAUUUUACUGCUAAGUUAUAGUGUGAAAUGCCUAUAUAUCAGUAAACACAUAAUCUUAUCCGUAUUUUAUUGAGUAAAUAGCAGGUUUUUCCAAAAACACCACACCUUACCGGUAAGUUAUAGUGUGAAAGGUAUAUAUAUGAGAACACAACAUCUUACCCGUAACUUAUAUAGUAAAUAAAUUAUUUUUCUAAAAACAAGAUAUCUUACCAAUAAGUUAUAGUGUAAAAGGCCUAUAUAUCUGAGAACACAACAUCUCAUCUGUAUUUUAUUGAGUAAAUAGCUUUUUUUUUUUUUUUCUAGAAACACCAUAUCUUACCUGUAAGUUAUAGUGUAAAAUGCCUAUAUAUCUGAGAACGCAACAUCUUAACCAUAUUUUACUGAGUAAAUAACUUAUUUUUCCAAAAAUACCUUAUCUUACCGAUAAGUUAUAGUGUAAAAUGUCUAUAUAUCUGAGAACACAACAUCUUAUCCGUAUUUUAUUGGGUAAAUA
Molecule: long non-coding RNA, 685 nt
Filed under: Prunus persica (peach)
Lineage: Eukaryota; Viridiplantae; Streptophyta; Magnoliopsida; Rosales; Rosaceae
Description: long non-coding RNA (PPER_LNC008612)
Source: RNAcentral